Molecule: ribosomal RNA, 500 nt
Filed under: uncultured bacterium
Lineage: Bacteria
Description: partial 16S ribosomal RNA
Rfam family: Bacterial small subunit ribosomal RNA
Source: RNAcentral
AUUGAACGCUGGCGGCAUGCCUUACACAUGCAAGUCGAACGGCAGCGGGGACUUCGGUCCGCCGGCGAGUGGCGAACGGGUGAGUAAUGUAUCGGAACGUACCUUUCAGUGGGGGAUAACGUAGCGAAAGUUACGCUAAUACCGCAUAUUCUCUGAGGAGGAAAGCAGGGGACCUUCGGUCCUUGCGCUGAUGGAGCGGCGGAUAUCAGAUUAGCUAGUUGGUGGGGUAAAGGCUCACCAAGGCUACGAUCUGUAGCGGGUCUGAGAGGAUGAUCCGCCACACUGGGACUGAGACACGGCCCAGACUCCUACGGGAGGCAGCAGUGGGGAAUUUUGGACAAUGGGCGAAAGCCUGAUCCAGCCAUGCCGCGUGAGUGAAGAAGGCCUUCGGGUUGUAAAGCUCUUUCGGACGGGAAGAAAUCAUGAGGGCUAAUAUCCCUUGUGGAUGACGGUACCGUAAUAAGAAGCACCGGCUAACUACGUGCCAGCCGCCGCCGUAA